AGGGUUGUAGCUCAACUGGUAGAGCACCGGUCUCCAAAACCGGGGGUUGGGGGUUCAAGUCCCUCCAGCCCUG
Molecule: transfer RNA, 73 nt
Filed under: Actinomycetes bacterium
Lineage: Bacteria; Bacillati; Actinomycetota; Actinomycetes
Also listed under: 3 other names
Description: tRNA-Trp
Rfam family: tRNA
About the family: Transfer RNA (tRNA) molecules are approximately 80 nucleotides in length.
Source: RNAcentral